RNAcentral lists this ribosomal RNA (163 nucleotides) under Lespedeza thunbergii subsp. formosa. RNAcentral describes it as "5.8S ribosomal RNA". It matches the Rfam family "5.8S ribosomal RNA". From Rfam's summary of the family: 5.8S ribosomal RNA (5.8S rRNA) is a component of the large subunit of the eukaryotic ribosome. It is transcribed by RNA polymerase I as part of the 45S precursor that also contains 18S and 28S rRNA. Lineage: Eukaryota; Viridiplantae; Streptophyta; Magnoliopsida; Fabales; Fabaceae. The record is from RNAcentral.
GAACGACUCUCGGCAACGGAUAUCUCGGCUCUUGCGUCGAUGAAGAACGUAGCGAAAUGCGAUACUUGGUGUGAAUUGCAGAAUCCCGUGAACCAUCGAGUCUUUGAACGCAAGUUGCGCCCGAAGCCAUUAGGCCGAGGGCACGCCUGCCUGGGUGUCACAC